AUUGAACGCUGGCGGCAGGCCUAACACAUGCAAGUCGAGCGGAUGAAGGGAGCUUGCUCCUGGAUUCAGCGGCGGACGGGUGAGUAAUGCCUAGGAAUCUGCCUGGUAGUGGGGGAUAACGUCCGGAAACGGGCGCUAAUACCGCAUACGUCCUGAGGGAGAAAGUGGGGGAUCUUCGGACCUCACGCUAUCAGAUGAGCCUAGGUCGGAUUAGCUAGUUGGUGGGGUGAAGGCCUACCAAGGCGACGAUCCGUAACUGGUCUGAGAGGAUGAUCAGUCACACUGGAACUGAGACACGGUCCAGACUCCUACGGGAGGCAGCAGUGGGGAAUAUUGGACAACGGGCGAAAGCCUGAUCCAGCCAUGCCGCGUGUGUGAAGAAGGUCUUCGGAUUGUAAAGCACUUUAAGUUGGGAGGAAGGGCAGUAAGUUAAUACCUUGCUGUUUUGACGUUACCAACAGAAUAAGCACCGGCUAACUUCGUG
Molecule: ribosomal RNA, 484 nt
Filed under: uncultured bacterium
Lineage: Bacteria
Description: partial 16S ribosomal RNA
Rfam family: Bacterial small subunit ribosomal RNA
Source: RNAcentral